GUCCUAACUAAGCAUAUCAAAAUACCUUAUAAACACAAAAAGUGGAUCAGGAGGAAAGAGAGCGCGGAUCAGGAAAUAAAGGUGCUACCUCUUGUGUCUGACCUUGAGAUGACCUUGGAACCAGAUGGUUGUGGGCUCUAAUCCCAGUACUGAUUUCAGAGAGUGUGGACGUCUCCCCCACCGGCUGGCUUAUCUGCAGUCCGCCUGGGCGUGACUGGAGGGUAGGAUGAAGCCUUUUUUUUUCUCUGCUGCAUCUUUGCCAUGCUGCACAGGAAUACACUAAUGCUCACGGCUAAGACCUGCUGAGCAAAAUCUGGAUUAUUCAUGAAAAAAGAAAGCUCGUGGAUCAGAAACUGGCUGACAGUAAAACAGUGUCUGACAUCAGACAAAGCGUGCUUGCUGAAAACAAUAUUCACCACUGGACCAUAGAGACUCUCUGUCUAUAACAAGCACUGAGCGUGUCUGAGGGUCAAAUUCCUUGUUUGGACAUCAGACUGGAGCCCAGACUGUCAUAAAAUAGUUUGAAUUAUUUUCAUGGAUAUUGUGGGUGUGAUGUCAUUCCAGACAUUUUGUUUGUUCUUCGUGUGUCUAUGUACUUUUGUAUUGAAUAAGCAUGCGUGUGAGCAUGCAUGCACUGCACGUGUAGGCAUGUGCAGCCAUACCUGCGUUAUGUGCUGUGUUGGUAAAUGUGAUUGUUCUUAUGAACUUGUUUAUAGGUAUUCAUGUAACUUUUGGGUGCCUGCAUGCGCAUGAAUACAUGUGUAUGUGUACAUGUGUAGUAUAUAUGCAACUCUGGGUGUGUCUGAAGCCAAAUACUGAAACCACACAGAUAUUGAACCCUAAACACAUAAUGAUUCCAUCUGAACAUCAAGGCUUAUAUUCGUUAUAGUUUUUUAAAUUUAAUAUUAUUAUUUUUUUUAGAUAUGUGGACUACUGUCAUGAUUUAAAAUAGGCUAGGCUUAUUUGAACAAAUUUGAUUUCCAGUUCUCUCAUGCUUACUUGGGAGGUGAUCAAUGGAGCUUAGCCCAAGAGAGAGUCGAGGUGGUGGGGGAGAAAGAAAGAGUAGCCACGUGGGAAUGACCAAGAUGGGAUAGAUAGGGGACGGGGAAGAAGGUGCAGUCGAUCUCCUUCCUUCAGUGCCCCAUAUUGUGUGUAUAGUGUGAAAAUUAACUUCAAUAUAGGGGUGGCUGAUUGCACUGAAAAAAAAAACUGUCCUGGAAAUUUCUGUUUGGGGUGCGUGUUUCACAGUUCUGCGUGAAAACAACUGCUCAGAGUGUGCAGGUAAGCAGUGCCUAUUAGCCUCAACUAUUCGCUCAGGGUCCUUGUGUAUCUUUGUUGCAUAAUGAUGUAUUAUUACAUGUCACAUUUUGAUCACCGUAGCCUUGAGUUCAGGCACUGAAAGUACAUUCCUAAUUCUCUAUUUACCUCACAAAUAUUAUACUUGGUUGCUACAAACCUAAUAAUGCAAACAAUGCCCAUUU
Molecule: long non-coding RNA, 1481 nt
Organism: Anguilla anguilla (European eel)
Lineage: Eukaryota; Metazoa; Chordata; Actinopteri; Anguilliformes; Anguillidae
Exons: 3
Source: RefSeq, a predicted model, not a curated record